CAAUGGGCGAAAGCNUGACGGAGCAACGCCGCGUGAGGGAGGAAGGCCUUUGGGUUGUAAACCCCUUUUCUCAGGGAAGAAGAUCUGACGGUACCUGAGGAAUAAGCAUCGGCUAACUCCGUG
Molecule: ribosomal RNA, 123 nt
Filed under: uncultured cyanobacterium
Lineage: Bacteria; Bacillati; Cyanobacteriota
Description: partial 16S ribosomal RNA
Rfam family: Bacterial small subunit ribosomal RNA
Source: RNAcentral